Molecule: unclassified non-coding RNA, 240 nt
Filed under: Hevea brasiliensis (rubber tree)
Lineage: Eukaryota; Viridiplantae; Streptophyta; Magnoliopsida; Malpighiales; Euphorbiaceae
Source: RNAcentral
GGGUUGCUGCUGGUGCCGCCAUUGUUAAACAGUAUGUGAAGAUCAAGAAAUGAAAAAGAAAAACUGUUGAUUUUACCAAGACUAGUCUUACCAAAAUCUCGCCUUUCUAUUUUUCAACGACAACCUUGUUAGUUUUGAUUCUGACCUUUUCUUCACUGACGGCUACAACCCCAAAAACCCCAAGCCAACAUUGUUAUAUAAACUCCAAUCUUGUUCAUUCUUAGUAAAACAGAGAAAAAA